Molecule: long non-coding RNA, 3863 nt
Filed under: Leptinotarsa decemlineata (Colorado potato beetle)
Lineage: Eukaryota; Metazoa; Arthropoda; Insecta; Coleoptera; Chrysomelidae
Description: uncharacterized LOC111511036
Source: RNAcentral
ACGCUUUUUUGUUUUAGUUCGAUGGUGUACAUGUGGUGAGUGGUUCCUUGGACACUAGCAUAAGAGUCUGGGAAGUAGAGUCUGGCGCCUGCAAACACACUUUAAUGGGCCAUCAAUCAUUAACAUCUGGCAUGGAACUAAGAAAUAAUAUCCUGGUAUCAGGCAAUGCUGAUUCAACAGUCAAGGUAUGGGACAUAGUGACUGGCCAAUGUCUUCAGACGCUUUCAGGUCGUAACAAACACCUGUCUGCUGUAACUUGUCUUCAAUUCAACAACCGCUUCGUGAUAACAUCUUCAGAUGACGGCACCGUCAAGCUGUGGGAUGUGCAGACAGGCAAAUUCAUCCGUAAUCUUGUUGCACUAGAAAGUGGCGGCGCUGGUGGUGUAGUCUGGCGUAUCCGCGCCACAGACACUAAGCUCGUGUGUGCCGUGGGGAGCCGUAACGGUACCGAGGAGACCAAAUUGUUAGUAUUAGAUUUUGAUGUCGAUCUGACUGCUGGCACGACCGUCGUGUCUAGGUAAUUACUGAGGACUCAAAAAAUUUUAGUGGUAUGCUUAAUUGAAGAGAGUGAAUGAUGCCCGUGCGUUUGUUGAAAUUAGGGGACCCAAGAUGUCACCUGUUCGAAUAGGGCGUUUCGAACGGGUCGGUUUUUAUGUAUAAUCUGAACAUUGGAAACCGAAUUUUGGCAGCACAUUCAGCUCAUUUUGGGAUUAUUGGUAGAAUGUAUAUUUUUAAACAUAUUUUACAAAAAAUUUGCUUAGCGAAUCUCAAGAUUUUCUCCUAUGAAUUUUUGACUCGGUAGUGAAAAAAGACUAAUUUUUGUGAAUAGUAUUCAUGGUUGGGUUGAAGAAAAGUGGAUUUUAUGUUUCAUAAAUUUAUUAAUUUUCAUGUGCAGACUAGAAAUUUAAUGAUUGAUAUUUUUCAAUAUCAAAUAAUGUUCCUUCAGUAUCUUUUUUUAAAUUACAUAAAUCUGUAUUCCCGUGGUCUAGUCAAAAGACCACUAAACUAGUUCAUUCAUAUAAACGUGAAGUAUAUUUAGCUAUUACCUAUCAGAAUUUGUAUUUCAUAUAUGUACCAGCAUUUUGAAGUUGAAUGUGCUGUAGAACAUUCAGUGUUUUCACUGUAGAUCAGAGGAUGAAGUAACACCAAACAAAUGUUGAACUGUGAUAUACCACGCUUAUUCCACCUAUUUGUCUAACCUCAAAUACUCGCAGGCGGCAUCUCUGGUAUUAUCCCAUUGGCAAGUAUCAAUAGUUAUAAGUCAUCAACCCCUCUGGGAAAUCCUAAUCUAAAAUAAUCUGGUGCUUAUUGUUUUGUUUUAAACUUUUGCUGCAAAUUUGAGUACAAAUUCAUUGUUAUUUUUCAUUACUUUUGGAGAGUGUCAGAUGUUUUCAUAUGACGGUUUUUGCGUCCUAUUACAUAUAAGGCUGAUAUUCAAUAACCAAAAUACAGAAAAACAUCAAUCCCGCUUUUUAAAUUUUUUUUCAUUCUUAUAGUUCCUAUUCAAAGCUUUAUUCAAAAUGGAACAAUCUGAGAAAAAUAAGUUGUAAUAUUGAAAAUAAAUUAUAUGGUCCAUCUUUUAUUAUAAAUUCACAACAACAAAUGUUUUCAUUAAAAUAUGUUUCACAAUGGUGAUGAAAAAAAUUGUUACUGGUUAAACCUUUUCCUAACGACAUUGUUUCUUUACUGAUUUUUCUUGUUGAUCGGUAUACUUCAAUAAAAAAACUAUCGCGUCUUUUGUUUACUUUUGCACUCUCAAUUUGAUCAUUCUGCAACCAAAUUAUUUUCGAUAAUAUCUAGGCUUUGAUUCAGAAUACCUUCACAGAAGAGACACUCAAAAUGUAACAGGACCAAUGAACUUUCAUUGCCAGAUGACAAUUUUGAAAAUAAAGGUAAAAUAAAGCUAAUUUGAAUAUUAGCUUUAACUACCUGCCUAGAUGUCAUUCGUGAUAAUUUCUUACUGCAAUAAAACCAUAUAUGGAAAAAAUUUAAAUAUUUGAACUUGAUGUUGAAAAUGACAUUAAUCCCCCUUAACACUAAUGACCCAUGAAUAUUAAAGUGCUGCCUGAUGAAUGUCUCUUCUGCAAAGGUAUUUAUACUUAUGGAACAAUUCUUAUUGAUGUGAAUGAUGACUGAAUAAUUGUUUUCUUUGAAUGCUGAUGAAUGAAUCUCUGUUCCUUAAAUUAUUUUUUACAGAUUGAUUAUAUUGCACCAGAGAGACUGAUAGUAAUUUUUAAGAUUCAUGAAAGUUAAGAAAGUACCACAUUAAGAUAUACAAUCAUUCAGGUUUUCUCUGAUAUUGGGAUAUUAAUAUACAUCACCUUUUUGUAAAACCAGUCUAGUUUACUAAAAUUCUCUGAAAGGAAAAAUCGAUUAGAUGUGAUUUUGAACAUUAAUUUCUAUGUAGCUACUACUUCCUUGAUACUAUUCUUGAAGUUUGUCGACUGCAUGACACAUGUUUUCAAGCUUUCCUUUCCAACAUUAUCAAAGGGGGUGGAGUUAUAUAUGCAUGGUUCUAUUUGUGUUCACAGCACACUUCAUCAGGGUUAGAACCCCAGAUAUUACUUAUGUUUCCUCACCACUAAUAAAUGUCUAUUACUGACAAAAAGUCCAGAAAAUAGCUUUAUCAUAUUUUGAAAAAUGAAACUUUUCAUGAUGAUCUCGUACCACGUAGUAACGGCUACAUCUAUCAAUUUAUUGUCAUAUUUUCUCCAACCGUGGAAGUAACUAACAUGUAAAUAACCCUAGGUGUUAUAACAGAUUUUGAAUAACUCGAUAAAAAGUAAACUAGACAGGUCAUCAGAGGAUUAUCCUGUACUUGAUUAAUAAUAUGCUGUUUUUUUUGCAUGGCAUUGGGAAGAUGUGGUUCAAGCUCAAUAUUCGUGUCGUAGUUAAAACUUGAUUGUACAUAGUUGUUAAUAAAAUGUCAUGACAUCACACCCAGUGAAAUCUUGGUAUAUUAAAUUUUAAUUCAAUACUUGUUUCAUCGCCCAUGACAUAAUGAUAAUAACGGUAGUGACUGAAUAAUAUUGGUGAUCAUCUGUACAACUCGAAAGAAAAUCUAACAUUUUAUAGGUAGCCAUAUUUUCUAAAAUGUAGUUGAUAAUCAAAAUGUAAAGAAAGCUUCAUUAUUUUUUCUACCUCCUUACUAUAUUAGUCAAAUUUGCAAAACCUGCCUCACAGGUCUGUUUCUUUUUGCAAUAAUUUUUCCAGUAGUAGUCAAAAUUUAUUUUAAGUAUAAAUCAUUCAGGUCAUUGUUUUUUAAAAAUAUUUUAAGUUCCAAAAGAGUCAUGAUAGUAUUGAUAGUUGUGGAAUUAACUCGAGACUCCUGCCCAUAGUUUUUUUUUGUUGAUUGAUUACAAUAUGUAUUCCCUAUUGAAAAUAUUUUGGUAAAUGAAAAUUAUUAUGGUAUGAAAUUCAGAUUAUCAUAGCCCCAGUCGCCACUUUCUUAAUCAUGCACCAAAGGCAAAUUUCAAUUUUAAUUUGAUGUGUUAGGUUUUCUAUUAUGACCAGGAACAUUUCAAUUUUCACAGCAUUCCCUGGAUAAGAAAAGCAUUAUUUUGACUCCAUUGUACUUCAAUAUCAUAUUUUUCUUAACAUUUUCGUUAGAACAAAAAAUACUGAUCAGUGAGACGUGAAACAAAAGAAGUGGUAGUUUGAGGGUUGAUAAAUGUCAUUUUUUACGAAUGAGGAGAUUCCAUAUAAUUUCUUUAUGGAAAUUCAGUUCAUGUUCAUAGGCAGUUACACACAAUCAAUUUUUUCCGUUUUGGAGAAGCAGUUGUAAAAUUUCAAAGUCUGGUGUUGUUAAUGUUAUAAUUUCAAGUGUAUUUGUUAUAUUUAUUUUAAUAAAACUAUUAAAUUAU